GCGAUAAGCGCCGGUAAGGUGAUAUGAACCGUUAUAACCGGCGAUACCCGAAUGGGGAAACCCAGUGUGACUCGUCACACUAUCAUUAACUGAAUCCAUAGGUUAAUGAGGCGAACCGGGGGAACUGAAACAUCUAAGUACCCCGAGGAAAAGAAAUCAACCGAGAUUCCCCCAGUAGCGGCGAGCGAACGGGGAGGAGCCCAGAGCCUGAAUCAGCAUGUGUGUUAGUGGAAGCGUCUGGAAAGGCGCGCGAUACAGGGUGACAGCCCCGUACACAAAAGCGCAUGUGCUGUGAGCUCGAUGAGUAGGGCGGGACACGUGGUAUCCUGUCUGAAUAUGGGGGGACCAUCCUCCAAGGCUAAAUACUCCUGACUGACCGAUAGUGAACCAGUACCGUGAGGGAAAGGCGAAAAGAACCCCGGCGAGGGGAGUGAAAAAGAACCUGAAACCGU
Molecule: ribosomal RNA, 452 nt
Filed under: Salmonella enterica subsp. enterica serovar Heidelberg
Lineage: Bacteria; Pseudomonadati; Pseudomonadota; Gammaproteobacteria; Enterobacterales; Enterobacteriaceae
Also listed under: 7 other names
Description: partial 23S ribosomal RNA
Rfam family: Bacterial large subunit ribosomal RNA
Source: RNAcentral